RNAcentral lists this ribosomal RNA (506 nucleotides) under uncultured bacterium. RNAcentral's name for it is "partial 16S ribosomal RNA". It matches the Rfam family "Bacterial small subunit ribosomal RNA", at positions 29 to 523 of the family's 1533-position model. The record is from RNAcentral.
AGUGAACGCUGGCGGUAGGCCUAACACAUGCAAGUCGAACGGCAGCACAGGAGAGCUUGCUCUCUGGGUGGCGAGUGGCGGACGGGUGAGGAAUACAUCGGAAUCUACUCUGUCGUGGGGGAUAACGUAGGGAGACUUACGCUAAUACCGCAUACGACCUACGGGUGAAAGCAGGGGACCUUCGGGCCUUGCGCGAUUGAAUGAGCCGAUGUCGGAUUAGCUUGUUGGCGGGGUAAAGGCCCACCAAGGCGACGAUCCGUAGCUGGUCUGAGAGGAUGAUCAGCCACACUGGAACUGAGACACGGUCCAGACUCCUACGGGAGGCAGCAGUGGGGAAUAUUGGACAAUGGGCGCAAGCCUGAUCCAGCCAUACCGCGUGGGUGAAGAAGGCCUUCGGGUUGUAAAGCCCUUUUGUUGGGAAAGAAAUCCAGCUGGCUAAUACCCGGUUGGGAUGACGGUACCCAAGGAAUAAGCACCGGCUAACUUCGUGCCAGCCGCCGCAGUAA